UCUUCCUCCAGCAGAAUCCCAGGCAUACGAGGAGCCUGAGAAGAAGCAGAGAUUGUUUGAAAGGGAUUCAGGACUGCAGACCAGGCAAACAUUCAUGGCUUUGAGAUGUAACAUCGCCAGGAUGGACAGGACACACCUGAUGCUCUCUGCCUCUCUCCAUGGUCCAAAGGAGUUUGUUCUGGGUCCUGAGCAUCCUUUGUGAUCCCCUGGUUCACUUCAGCUGCUGGAGCUCUGCUCU
This is a long non-coding RNA of Ailuropoda melanoleuca (giant panda), 238 nucleotides long. RefSeq lists it as uncharacterized. NCBI's taxonomy places the organism in Eukaryota, Metazoa, Chordata, Mammalia, Carnivora, Ursidae. The transcript has 3 exons. The record is from RefSeq and is a predicted model, not a curated record.